RNAcentral lists this ribosomal RNA (253 nucleotides) under uncultured bacterium. Its description in RNAcentral is "partial 16S ribosomal RNA". It matches the Rfam family "Bacterial small subunit ribosomal RNA", at positions 524 to 776 of the family's 1533-position model. The record is from RNAcentral.
UACGUAGGGGGCAAGCGUUGUCCGGAUUUAUUGGGCGUAAAGAGCGUGUAGGCGGCCUGGUAGGUCAGCUGUGAAAACUCGAGGCUCAACCUCGAGACGCCGAUGGAAACCAUCUGACUAGAGUCCGGAAGAGGAGAGUGGAAUUCCUGGUGUAGCGGUGAAAUGCGCAGAUAUCAGGAAGAACACCCGUGGCUAAGGCGGCUCUCUAGUACGUGACUGACGCUGAGACGCGAAAGCGUGGGGAGCGAACAGG